This 305-nucleotide ribosomal RNA is filed under the name uncultured bacterium. RNAcentral describes it as "bacterial SSU rRNA". It matches the Rfam family "Bacterial small subunit ribosomal RNA", at positions 334 to 630 of the family's 1533-position model. The record is from RNAcentral.
GUCGGCCUACGGGGGGCAGCAGUAGGGAAUCUUCCACAAUGGACGAAAGUCUGAUGGAGCAACGCCGCGUGAGUGAAGAAGGGUUUCGGCUCGGAAAGCUCUGUUGGUAGUGAAGAAAGAUAGAGGUAGUAACUGGCCUUUAUUUGACGGUAAUUACUUAGAAAGUCACGGCUAACUACGUGCCAGCAGCCGCGGUAAUACGUAGGUGGCAAGCGUUGUCCGGAAUUACUGGGUGUAAAGGGUGCGUAGGCGGCACUCCAAGUCAGUUGUGAAACCCGUAGGCUCAACCUACGGCUUGCAAUUGA